AUUGAACGCUGGCGGCAUGCUUUACACAUGCAAGUCGAACGGCAGCACGGGGGCAACCCUGGUGGCGAGUGGCGAACGGGUGAGUAACACAUCGGAACGUGUCCAGUUGUGGGGGAUAACCCAUCGAAAGGUGGGCUAAUACCGCAUGAGCUGGCAACAGGAAAGCGGGGGACCCGCAAGGGCCUUGUGCGAUUGGAGCGGCCGAUGUCCGAUUAGCUAGUUGGUGGGGUAAAGGCCUACCAAGGCUUCGAUCGGUAGCUGGUCUGAGAGGAUGAUCAGCCACACUGGGACUGAGACACGGCCCAGACUCCUACGGGAGGCAGCAGUGGGGAAUUUUGGACAAUGGGGGCAACCCUGAUCCAGCCAUGCCGCGUGAGUGCAGAAGG
This 386-nucleotide ribosomal RNA is filed under the name uncultured bacterium. Its description in RNAcentral is "bacterial SSU rRNA". It matches the Rfam family "Bacterial small subunit ribosomal RNA", at positions 29 to 414 of the family's 1533-position model. The record is from RNAcentral.